RNAcentral lists this ribosomal RNA (464 nucleotides) under uncultured bacterium. Its description in RNAcentral is "partial 16S ribosomal RNA". It matches the Rfam family "Bacterial small subunit ribosomal RNA", at positions 28 to 507 of the family's 1533-position model. The record is from RNAcentral.
GACGAACGCUGGCGGCGUGCUUAACACAUGCAAGUCGAACGGAAAGGCCCUGCUUGCAGGGUACUCGAGUGGCGAACGGGUGAGUAACACGUGGGUGAUCUGCCCUGCACUUCGGGAUAAGCCUGGGAAACUGGGUCUAAUACCGGAUAGGAGCCAUUUUUAGUGUGAUGGUUGGAAAGUUUUUUCGGUGUAGGAUGAGCUCGCGGCCUAUCAGCUUGUUGGUGGGGUAAUGGCCUACCAAGGCGGCGACGGGUAGCCGGCCUGAGAGGGUGGCCGGCCACAGUGGGAGGGAGAUACGGACCAGAUGCCGACGGGAUGCAGCAGGGGGGAAUAUGGCAAAAGGGGGGGAAGCCGGAGGCAGGAACGCCGGGUGAGGGAUGAAGGCCUGCGGGUUGUAAACCGAUUGGGAAUGUGACGAAGCGUGAGGGACGGUAAGGGGUAAAGAAGCACCGGCUAACUACGUG